RNAcentral lists this unclassified non-coding RNA (336 nucleotides) under soil metagenome. RNAcentral's name for it is "partial contains 5.8S ribosomal RNA, internal transcribed spacer 2, and large subunit ribosomal RNA". The stretch from base 1 to 120 matches the Rfam family "5.8S ribosomal RNA", at positions 35 to 154 of the family's 154-position model. The record is from RNAcentral.
GAUGAAGAACGCAGCGAAAUGCGAUAAGUAAUGUGAAUUGCAGAAUUCAGUGAAUCAUCGAAUCUUUGAACGCACAUUGCGCCCGCCAGUAUUCUGGCGGGCAUGCCUGUUCGAGCGUCACUUCAACCAUCAAGCCCCAGGCUUGUGUUGGGGACCUGCGGCUGCCGCAGGCCCUGAAAACCAGUGGCGGGCUCGCUGUCACACCGGGCGUAGUAGAUUUUAUCUCGCUCAGGGCGUGCUGCGGGUUCCGGCCGUUAAAAAGCCUUUUUUACCCAAGGUUGACCUCGGAUCAGGUAGGAAGACCCGCUGAACUUAAGCAUAUCAAUAAGCGGAGGA